AUUUUUACAUUUUCCUCCCUUUUUAAUGGAAUAUUUCAAACAUUUACAAAUAAGUUUGUACCCAACACCCAGAUUUUACAAAGGUUAAAUUUUCAAUUGUUUCAGAAACUUGGAAAGAGAUGAAAAACGGCGGACACAGAAAAAGCCCCUUUCACACCUACUCUCCUUCUGCCAGCCUCCCUACCUUUCUAGAGAUAACCAAUAUAUUAAUAGACUGUGCAUCCUUCCUGGAUCGUUUCUUUCAAACUUUGAGUCGGAGAGGAGACAAGAUGAAGAAAGAAGAGACAGGAGAAGGAGUACUUUUAAGUAGAACACUUCCAAAUUGCCAAAUUGCAGGUCCUUCCAGUUGUGGCAUAUGGGAUGCCGGCUCAACGUGGCCUGAUAAGCAGUGCCAUGUCCGCGCCCAGGAUCCGAACCCUAGGCCACCGAUCGAAGCCAUUCGGCCACAGGACUGGCCCCAUCCUCUUCUUCUUUCAAAGAAUAGCACUUCCACUGAGUGACUGAUAAUGGAUGUGCAACUGGCUUGGAGUAAAGCUGAUUAAUUUAUGCUUCCCUUAUGAUGUUUGUGUAUCAUCCAAAAAAACCCACUAAGUUUUAUAAGUCCCAAAAAAUAAAGUCUUCCAAGGAUGAUCAAAGUAUUUUUUAUAAAAAUUUUGUUAUGUAUUCUCCUAAAGAGAUUACAGGUGGAUAUUAAUAAUACAUUUACCUUGGUUUCACUAUGAUGUUCUCUGAAGAGGCAUUCUAAAUGCUCUUCAUGGAGGGACUAAUAAACAACAAGUACAGAAAUGGACAUGUUUUUCUAGAGAUGUGCCAUUAAUGGCAAUGGAGUCAGUCAUUGACUACUCACCAUAUUCCAGG
RNAcentral lists this long non-coding RNA (858 nucleotides) under Equus caballus (horse). Its description in RNAcentral is "lncRNA (ENSECAG00000043877.1)". Lineage: Eukaryota; Metazoa; Chordata; Mammalia; Perissodactyla; Equidae. The record is from RNAcentral.